Molecule: ribosomal RNA, 427 nt
Filed under: uncultured bacterium
Lineage: Bacteria
Description: partial 16S ribosomal RNA
Rfam family: Bacterial small subunit ribosomal RNA
Source: RNAcentral
UGGGGAAUAUUGCACAAUGGGCGCAAGCCUGAUGCAGCCAUGCCGCGUGUAUGAAGAAGGCCUUCGGGUUGUAAAGUACUUUCAGCGGGGAGGAAGGUGUUGAGGUUAAUAACCUCAGCAAUUGACGUUACCCGCAGAAGAAGCACCGGCUAACUCCGUGCCAGCAGCCGCGGUAAUACGGAGGGUGCAAGCGUUAAUCGGAAUUACUGGGCGUAAAGCGCACGCAGGCGGUCUGUCAAGUCGGAUGUGAAAUCCCCGGGCUCAACCUCGGAACUGCAUUCGAAACUGGCAGGCUAGAGUCUUGUAGAGGGGGGUAGAAUUCCAGGUGUAGCGGUGAAAUGCGUAGAGAUCUGGAGGAAUACCGGUGGCGAAGGCGGCCCCCUGGACAAAGACUGACGCUCAGGUGCGAAAGCGUGGGGAGCAAACA